This 419-nucleotide ribosomal RNA is filed under the name uncultured eukaryote. Its description in RNAcentral is "SSU rRNA". It matches the Rfam family "Eukaryotic small subunit ribosomal RNA", at positions 592 to 1018 of the family's 1831-position model. The record is from RNAcentral.
CAAUAGCGUAUAUUAAAGUUGUUGCGGUUAAAAGCUCGUAGUUGGAUUUCUGCUGAGGACGAUCGGUCCGCCCUCUGGGUGAGCAUUGACUCGGCCUUGGCAUCUUCUUGGAGAACGCUACUGCACUUGACUGUGUGGUGCGGUAUCCAGGACUUUUACUUUGAGGAAAUUAGAGUGUUUCAAGCAGGCGCACGCCUUGAAUACAUUAGCAUGGAAUAAUAGGAUAGGACCUUGGUUCUAUUUUGUUGGUUUGUUGAACUAGAGUAAUCACAAUAAGGAUAGUUGGGGGUAUUCGUAUUUAACUGUCAGAGGUGAAAUUCUUGGAUUUUUUAAAGACGAACAAUUGCGAAGGCAUCUACCCAGGAUGUUUUUGUUGAUCAAGAACGAAAGUUAGGGGAUCGAAGACGAUUAGAUACCAU